CGGGGUGGCGAAACUGGCAGACGCAACAGCUUUAGGAGCUGUCGCCCGAAAGGGUGUGGAGGUUCAAGUCCUCUCCCCGGCACCA
This 85-nucleotide transfer RNA is filed under the name Candidatus Doudnabacteria bacterium RIFCSPHIGHO2_01_48_18. RNAcentral's name for it is "tRNA-Leu". It matches the Rfam family "tRNA". From Rfam's summary of the family: Transfer RNA (tRNA) molecules are approximately 80 nucleotides in length. Their secondary structure includes four short double-helical elements and three loops (D, anti-codon, and T loops). The record is from RNAcentral. Lineage: Bacteria; Candidatus Doudnaibacteriota.